Acomys russatus (golden spiny mouse) is the source of this 388-nucleotide long non-coding RNA. RefSeq lists it as uncharacterized. NCBI's taxonomy places the organism in Eukaryota, Metazoa, Chordata, Mammalia, Rodentia, Muridae. The transcript has 3 exons. The record is from RefSeq and is a predicted model, not a curated record.
CACCACCACCAUAUCUCCCUGCUGAGGAAGAGAAAAGCUUCAUGAGCCAAGAUGGCCCUGUUGAUUUCUGCUCCCCUCCUUGUUGGGACCCCACCACAUGCCUGGAAGUGUGUGGUAGUCUAGAACACUGUCCAAGAAAGUGAUCCUGUGUUCCUGACAGCUGAGAUGAAGUCCCACACUCAGCUGUCUCCCACUCACCAGAGAGACAUUCGACAAACAGCUGCUUUCUUGUGUUUACUUCUGACCUUUUGCAGAGAGAUCUAUCAGCGGGAACUCACAAGCCUGAUGCAGGCAGCUCUGUGCACUGGGGACGCAUUCAACAGAUGCAGGAUCAGUGUUUUUCUUUUGGAAUCAUGACCAGAGGUGCUAAGAUAUAAAUGUAAAAGAU